AUUGAACGCUGGCGGCAUGCUUUACACAUGCAAGUCGAACGGUAACAGGCCGCAAGGUGCUGACGAGUGGCGAACGGGUGAGUAAUGCAUCGGAACGUGCCCAGUCGUGGGGGAUAACUACUCGAAAGAGUAGCUAAUACCGCAUACGAUCUAUGGAUGAAAGCGGGGGACCGUAAGGCCUCGCGCGAUUGGAGCGGCCGAUGUCAGAUUAGGUAGUUGGUGGGGUAAAGGCUCACCAAGCCAACGAUCUGUAGCUGGUCUGAGAGGACAACCAGCCACACUGGGACUGAGACGCGGCCCAGACUCCUACGGGAGGCAGCAGUGGGGAAUUUUGGACAAUGGGCGCAAGCCUGAUCCAGCAAUGCCGCGUGCAGGAAGAAGGCCUUCGGGUUGUAAACUGCUUUUGUACGGAACGAAACGGCUCUGGUUAAUACCCGGGGCUAAUGACGGUACCGUAAGAAUAAGCACCGGCUAACUACGUG
RNAcentral lists this ribosomal RNA (482 nucleotides) under uncultured bacterium. RNAcentral's name for it is "partial 16S ribosomal RNA". It matches the Rfam family "Bacterial small subunit ribosomal RNA", at positions 30 to 507 of the family's 1533-position model. The record is from RNAcentral.